RNAcentral lists this transfer RNA (71 nucleotides) under Phractocephalus hemioliopterus (redtail catfish). Its description in RNAcentral is "tRNA-Thr". It matches the Rfam family "tRNA". Rfam says of the family: Transfer RNA (tRNA) molecules are approximately 80 nucleotides in length. Lineage: Eukaryota; Metazoa; Chordata; Actinopteri; Siluriformes; Pimelodidae. The record is from RNAcentral.
UGCCCUAGUAGCUUACUGUUAAAGCGCCGGUCUUGUAAUCCGGAGAUCGGGGGCUAAAAUCCUCCCUAGUG